RNAcentral lists this long non-coding RNA (878 nucleotides) under Cicer arietinum (chickpea). Its description in RNAcentral is "long non-coding RNA (CARI_LNC002099)". The record is from RNAcentral. Lineage: Eukaryota; Viridiplantae; Streptophyta; Magnoliopsida; Fabales; Fabaceae.
AAAUUCAGAAUAAUAUUCUUGAAUUGACAAAUUACCUUGUUUGUAGUUGGCUAACUCUAGCUCCAAAUGAAAACGUUUGGCCGUAUUGUCUUGGUUGUAGAUACGCUUCAAAUAGUUCCACAUUUCUUGAGCAGUUGAAAAAGAGCGCAAAUUAUUGAUCAUAUGAGGAUCAAUAGUAUUGAGAAUCCAAGAAAUAAUCUGAGCAUCUUUGAUUUCCCACGCAUCUAAGGCAGUUUUCUCUAUCGGUGCCUUCGAAACCCCAUCAAGGUGACUCCAUAAUCCUUUUCCUUUAACAUACAUUUUGAAUUGAAAUUCCCAAGCAGCGUAAUUCUUGCCAGUAAAACGGACACAAAAGUUGUCUCUUUCUUUUUCAGAAGUCAUGCUAUUGUACUAAAAAAAUAAUGAUGACAGCAGUACAAAAACAGAGCAGGAGCAGAGAAAAAGGGCAGCAAUACAGAAGCAGAGAAACAGGGCAGGAGCAGCAACACAAAAACAGGGCAGGAGCAGCAACACAAAAACAGAGCAUCAACAGAGAGACAUGCUCACAACGAGAGGCAGACGAAAUCACGAUGACAAUCGACCAAGCAGCAGCAACGAGUAACACGCUCAAGCAAGGACAACCCAAAAACGAAUCAAGAAUCACGAUCUCAGCCGCAGCAGCGAGUGCGAGAUUUCGAGAGCGACUUAGUGGUGUGUCGCUGAAUAAACCCCGAUAAACUAGAAUCUCACAGGUUUGAUCGAACCUGCUGAUACCAUGUCAGAAAAUAGGGUUUGAUGCCCUUUUUGCCUUGAUAUUUCUCGGUAUAAAUAAUCGUUACAACAUUUAUAUCUAAUAAUUACAAAUUAAGAGGAUCAAAUCAAAUCCUGAUUUGUCUAAC